Humulus lupulus (European hop) is the source of this 3019-nucleotide RNA transcript. It is a transcript of the gene named probable inactive ATP-dependent zinc metalloprotease FTSHI 4, chloroplastic, with no coding region annotated. Lineage: Eukaryota; Viridiplantae; Streptophyta; Magnoliopsida; Rosales; Cannabaceae. The record is from RefSeq and is a predicted model, not a curated record. The transcript is spliced from 18 exons.
GUAUUUGGAACUUUUUAAUUAUUUUUUUUCAAAACCCAUAUUUCUGUUUUCUUUCAAAACGGCAUAUACUUGGCUUUGGCCGUGAGGUGCUGGAUAAUAUUUUCCGGCUCGUCCGAUAUUUCCACACCGGAAAAUAGGAGAAAAGAGCAAGAAAAUACACACUCACAAACGGCAAAAAGCAUCCUUUAAUGGUGGAAAAUGAAUUCCCAACCAUUAACGAGAAGUGAUAUACUUCAACUACCAAACCGCUUGUUACACCCCUCUAAAACCCCUCCUCAUUCCUUUCCGGCCUUUUAUCGAACACGUCGUAAACGUUAUUUGGGAGCUAAGUUUCAGGCCUAUGGUGACGAUGCUAAGUUUCUCAACCCAGCGAAGCUCAGAAUUCGCGCCUGCAAAGCUUCUGGUUCGAGUUCGAACUCGGCUAUAGUGCCCACGAACGCCGAGGAAGACGUUGAGUCUGCUCAGCUAUUCGAGAAAUUAAAGGAUCUUGAGAGACAACGGAUUGAUAAAUUGGAAGAACUUGACCGUAAGGCAAAUGUGCAGUUGGAAAGGCAGCUUGUGAUGGCUUCUUAUUGGAGUAGAGUUUUGUUGACUAUGCGUGGAAAGUUGAAAGGAACUGAGUGGGAUCCUGAAAUCUCACAUAGGAUUGACUUUAGUGAUUUUUGGAGGCUUCUUAACUCAAAUAACGUUCAAUUUAUGGAGUAUUCAAAUUAUGGUCAAACAGUAUCAGUGAUUUUACCUUAUUACAAAGAUGAGAAAACAGGAGGAUCUGAGGGAACUUUGAAUAAGGAAAUUGUUUUUAGGCGUCAUGUAGUUGACCGCAUGCCAAUUGAUUGCUGGAAUGAAGUUUGGCAGAAGUUGCACCAGCAAAUAGUAAAUGUUGAUGUCUAUAAUGUGGACACAGUACCUGCAGAAGUAUACACAACUGUUGCAACUGCAGUCAUUUGGUCUAUGCGGCUUGCCCUUUCUAUUGGUUUAUAUAUUUGGAUUGAUAACUUGACAAGACCAAUAUAUGCCAAGUUGAUUCCUACUGAUCUAGGAAAACCUGGCAAAAAAAUUAGGCAGCCCCUCAAGCGCCGUGCACUUGGAUCUUUAGGAAAAAGUCGGGCAAAAUUUAUAUCAGCAGAAGAAUCUACUGGUAUCACCUUUGAUGAUUUUGCUGGUCAGGAAUAUAUAAAGAGGGAACUGCAGGAAAUUGUAAGAAUUUUAAAGGAUGAUGAAGAAUUUCAAGACAAAGGCAUUUAUUGCCCAAAAGGUGUACUUCUCCAUGGACCUCCUGGAACUGGUAAAACGCUGCUAGCGAAAGCUAUUGCUGGUGAAGCAGGACUUCCUUUCUUUGCGGCAAAUGGCACUGAUUUUGUAGAGAUGUUUGUAGGUGUGGCAGCUUCUCGUGUCAAGGAUCUAUUUGCUAGUGCUAGAUCAUAUGCACCAUCAAUUAUAUUUAUUGAUGAGAUUGAUGCCAUUGGUAGUAAACGUGGUGGGCCUGAUAUUGGUGGGGGUGGUGCAGAAAGGGAACAAGGGCUCCUUCAGAUAUUGACAGAGAUGGAUGGAUUUAAAGUUUCUACCUCACAGGUACUGGUAAUAGGUGCCACAAAUAGACUGGAUAUUCUUGAUCCUGCUCUACUGCGAAAGGGUCGUUUUGACAAGAUCAUAAGAGUUGGUUUGCCAUCUAAGGAUGGUAGAUUGGCUAUUUUGAAGGUGCAUGCUAGAAAUAAAUAUUUCCGUUCUGAGGAGGAGAAGGACGUUCUCCUUCUGGAAAUAGCAGAGCUUACUGAAGAUUUUACUGGGGCAGAACUGCAGAACAUACUGAAUGAAGCUGGAAUUUUGACUGCCAGGAAGGAUUUAGAUUUCAUUGGUCGAGAAGAGCUGCUAGAAGCUUUGAAAAGGCAAAAAGGCACAUUUGAAACAGGGCAGGAAGAUAAUACUGAAAUCCCAGAGGAUCUAAAAUUAAGGUUGGCAUACAGAGAAGCAGCUGUUGCUGUCCUUGCCUGCUACUUUCCAAAUCCUUACCGUCCAUUUACACAGACGGAUAUAAAAUCAAUUCGUAGUCAGCCAAAUAUGUGUUAUAAUGACAUUCCGGGCAAGGUCUUUGCAAGAAAAUCAGAUUAUGUGAACUCUAUAGUGCGUGCAUGUGCUCCAAGAGUUAUUGAGGAGGAGAUGUUUGGGGUUGACAAUCUGUGUUGGAUCUCAUCAAAGGCAACAUUAGAAGCUUCGAGGCUGGCAGAAUUUUUAAUCCUGCAGACUGGAAUGACAGCUUUUGGGAAAGCAUUCUACAGGAAUCAGAGUGAUCUUGUGCCCAAUCUUGCAGCUAAGCUUGAAGCACUUAGGGAUGAAUAUAUGCGUUAUGCUGUUGAUAAAUGUUCAUCUGUGUUGAGGGAGUACCAUCUAGCUGUGGAGACGAUCACAGACCUUUUACUUGAAAAGGGAGAAAUUAAAGCUGAGGAAAUUUGGGAUAUUUACCAAAGGGCUGCUCAAAUACCUCAGCCGGCUGUGAGUCCAGUGGAUGAAUAUGGAGCCCUAAUAUAUGCAGGGAGAUGGGGAAUACAUGGGAUUUCACUUCCUGGGAGGGUUACAUUUGCACCUGGCAAUGUUGGAUUUUCAACGUUUGGUGCAGCCAGACCCAUGGAGACCCAAAAGGUGAAUGAUGAAACCUGGAAGUUAAUAGAUGACAUUUGGGAUAAAAAAAUUGAAGACAUGAAAGCUGAAGCUUCAGCAGUGUUUGAAGAGGAAAAACAGAAACCUCAACUUCUAAUGGCCAGCCAUUUUCUAUAGAAGCAAAGGAUUACUGGAUCUUAUGGUAGAUAAUCCAAGGACACAUGCUAUGUUUAAUGAUUGAUCUAUGGGCAUGAGAGAUAGCCUCAUCAAUUCCGAGCAGUCUGUGACCAUAGGGUCCCGCACAAGCACAACCACCUCGAGCUUGGAUGCCGAAGAGGUCAUUGAGGAGGACUGCAACAAAAGCUCCAUGAAGAGGCUUAUCUCUAUUGUUGCCAAUCUCUCCCCACAUGAAAAGCCCUCCUUC